AGCCGCGGUAACUCCAGCUCCAAUAGCGUAUAUUAAAGUUGUUGCGGUUAAAAAGCUCGUAGUCGGAUGUCUGUCUUCGGCCGGGCGGCGCCGCUCUGAAUUAAGGGUGUUUGCGUUUUCGCUCUGGGAGACGGGUGUCAAAGCCCGACUCUCUUUACGGUCGGACAACAUCGCCGGAGUGGUGGUCGGUGAGUGUCGUGUUGAAUGCUUUGCUUUCUUGUUAGCUUCGGCUAGUGGGGGGCUUGCUGCGAUCGCGACAUUUGCUCCACCCGUCAAUCGUUCGGGGUGCCCUUCACCGGGUGUCUCGGGCGGCCGGCAACGUUUACUUUGAACAAAUUAGAGUGCUCAAAGCAGGUGUAUCCCAACGCCUGAAUAU
This 376-nucleotide ribosomal RNA is filed under the name Ceriodaphnia rotunda. RNAcentral's name for it is "bacterial SSU rRNA". It matches the Rfam family "Eukaryotic small subunit ribosomal RNA", at positions 572 to 802 of the family's 1831-position model. Lineage: Eukaryota; Metazoa; Arthropoda; Branchiopoda; Diplostraca; Daphniidae. The record is from RNAcentral.